ACGUAAAUCAAACAGUUUCUGACGGAAGCAAAGAAAAAAACAAAGAAGAGUGAUGGCUGAUUGGGGGCCGGUUUUUGUAGCUGUGAUUCUGUUUGUUUUGCUAACUCCAGGUCUGCUGUUUCAGCUUCCUGGCAACCGCAGGUGCUUGGAGUUCGGCAACUUUCACACCAGUGCUGCUGCUAUCAUCGUUCAUUCAGUUCUCUACUUCGGUCUCAUUUGCGUCUUCUUGCUUGCCAUCAAGGUUCAUCUCUAUAUUGGUUCCUAAUUCUUCCCCGAUGCAAACACUCACCCCUCCAGGAUCACCUCUACAUUGUUUUCCAUGUGUGUGAGCCAAAUAUCGAUCUUGGUGUAACAUAUAGGCAUUUCAAACCGUGGCAGUUACAUACGAUCAAAAGACUAGAAAACAAUGGAAGAAAUGAACUGAAACAAUCUCAAAAGUAG
RNA transcript from Cucurbita maxima (winter squash), 441 nucleotides. RefSeq lists it as uncharacterized. The record is from RefSeq and is a predicted model, not a curated record. The transcript is spliced from 3 exons. NCBI's taxonomy places the organism in Eukaryota, Viridiplantae, Streptophyta, Magnoliopsida, Cucurbitales, Cucurbitaceae.